RNAcentral lists this ribosomal RNA (1280 nucleotides) under Mactra antiquata. Its description in RNAcentral is "16S ribosomal RNA". It matches the Rfam family "Bacterial large subunit ribosomal RNA", at positions 579 to 2844 of the family's 2925-position model. The record is from RNAcentral. Lineage: Eukaryota; Metazoa; Mollusca; Bivalvia; Venerida; Mactridae.
UAGAAAAAUCCGUUUUAUAAUGGUAUUAUUUUAGAGAUUUUUACAACUAGAACUGAAGAGGGUUUAUAUAUUUUAAAUAGACGUUUUUAAUUUACGUACUUUUUGUAUAAUGGCUUAUAGAGUUUGAAAAUAAAUUUUUAUUCCCGAAAACUUUAGAGCUAUUUUUUUUUAUUUUAUUGUUGCAAUAAUAUGAAAAAUUGAAAAUAGAUGUGACAUGUGUUACGAAAAAGUUGAUACCUGGUUUAAUAGGAAAUGCAUUCAGUGCAGCCACGGUAAAAACCAAUCUGAGAUAGCAGAUCGGUUUGGGUCGUGAGUGAAAUAAUAGGGGGUAAGCUCUAUUAUAAAUAAGAAAUCUAAUCUUAAAAAAGUAGAAAUAACAUUUUUAAGCUUUUAAAACUUUUCACAAAUUUUUUUUUUUUUUUUUUAUUAUUACUAUUAUUUAGAAACAACUAGUUUUUAAAAAGUAGUAUAAGAUUAGUAGGAGUAAAAUUAAUUUUCUUCACAUACCAAGUAUUGGAAUAGGGAAAUAUAAUUACAUAGAAAUAUACUAUUGAGGAACUCGGCAAAUCGAACCCCCGCCUGUUUAACAAAAACAUGUCUCUUUGAUAAAUAUUAUAAGGAGUCGGCCCUGCCCGGUGGCGUCGUGCUAAACGGUCGCAAUGGAUAGUUGUGCUAAGGUAGCGCAGUCAAUUGUCCUUUAAUUGGGGAAAGGAAUGAAAGGGUUGACGAGGGGUGAGCUGUCUUUAUAGUAUAGUUUGAAGUUUUCUUUUACGUGAAAAGACUUAAAUUUAAAAAUAAGAAGAGAAGACCCCGGCGAGCUUGGUAAGGGUUAUUAAACUAAAAUAAUUAUUGAGGUUUGUUGGGGCAACGCAAAGGGAAAAUAACUCCUUUGAACGUAAUAAAGAUCCAUUUAGAGUGAAUAAAGCAAAAGCUACCGCGGGGAUAACAGCGCAAUUUUUUCAGAGAGUUCAUAUCGAAGAGAAUGUUUGCGACCUCGAUGUUGGAUUAAGAUUUCCUUUUGGUGCAGGGGUUAAAAAGGUGGGACUGUUCGUCCUUUAAAAUCUUACAUGAUCUGAGUUCAGACCGGCGUGAGCUAGGUCGGUUUCUAUCUAUUAUAAAUUGUUUGUCGUACGUAAGGAUCCGAACAAUAAAAAAUUUUUUUGAUUAUAAAAUAAUUGAAUGAUUGGAUUUAGGCCUAUGUUUGCUUUGCUCGUAUAUUUAACUAUAGGGUUCAUUUUAGUCUUAAUUAUUAAUUAUCUUUGAUGAAGGGAGUUGAAUAA